GCGUCCCGGGAGCCCGGCCUCGUGCGCCGCGCUUUGAGGACUUCCUAAAGCCAGUCCAGGAGCACAGUUUUUACCUGUUCAGUGGCACAUAUCUGUGAUUGAAACUCUGUUUUUGCAUCUUUAACCACUGAAGGAAGAAUGCAGCAGACUGCUCGACAAACACUGCGCCAAGAGCUCCUCAGCAGAAGCUCCUCGCAUCAGAUCCUCUGUGCUGGGAAUCCUCCCCUCUUGAGCACACUCUGUGCUCCUCUUCCAGUUACGGUGCAUGUGAAGCAAUGGUAUGGGAAAAUUGUUUGCAGAAGGAUGAAAAGGCUUUAUUGCCAAACUAAACUGGACCAGGAAAGUCUCGUGAGGAGCUGAUCCCAUUGCAUCAAGCUCUAAUUACCUGAUGUAACAGGAAGCCGGGGGGGCGUCCAGUCUCUCAGCUUGUGGUUGAUACACAAGGCGAUAAGAUCAUCCCAUGGGAUCUCCAUGACCGAGGGGCCUGCCCCAUGGACUGGGGAGGGACUCUUGCUCUUCCACCUACAGUAGGUUCUGUGGAGCAGGUUCUCCACCUGGGACUGGAGGACAGGCUGUGUCUGGCGUGAGCUGGGGAUCUGGGAGGCGUACUGGACAACCAUGGAGCACACGGGGAGCCAGGGGGCUGGGGAGAAAGUGCCUCAUUAGUUACAGGUUUGGCCAAAAUACAGGUGAAAAUGUACAUGAAAACAUUUUCUCAGGAGAAGGCAACUGUGAAGUUGAGAAGUCUGCUUUCUAAACACAGCAGAACCACAGUUGUUGAGGGGGAAGAGCAGCUUGCUCCCAGGGUCUAGGUGAGGGAUGCAGACAGUCCCCCUUAACAGUGUUGCUAGCCAAGUUCUACCCAGAAGUUCUGACUGUACAGGCCUGUGGUUGUGCCUAGGAAAUCUGUAUUUUAACAAGCACCCAGAUGAGUCUGGUAUAAGCAGUCUUAGCUUAUUUUGGGGAACCCCAACCUAACCAGAGCACCGAGGGCUUGUGCUGAGUGGUUUGCUUCCCUUUGGGUUCCUUCAAUAAUGAGCAUGAGUUAGACCUACUACAGACCACACACCACAAUUUAGAAGGGCGCCUGAGGCCCAAAGGGGAGUGUCUGUGCUAAUGCCACAACUUCUGCCAGAUAAGCAGCUCAUUCCCUUCUGAGUGCAUAGGAAGGAGCAGCCCCAUGCCAUACUGGGCUUGAGCCAGCCAGAUGGCCUGUCGGAUCUGUGUCAAAACAGCCCAAAGACCUCAGCCAGGAACAGGGGCACAGCCAGAGCCAUAGAAGAAGGCCUCUUUGACAAAGAAAGAAUGUUAAAUCAGCACUGAGUGCCAUGGCUGCGGCUUGGGGACAGGGCUACAUGGUCCCCAUGCUCUUUGCCCCUUGUCUGUUCUGAAAACAGGGACCCUGUGGGCAGGCAGGACAGGAUCAGGGUUGGUGUUCCUCCCAGUACCACUUGUCACUUUUCUCCUGAAGCUGAGUGAACUCCCAUGGACUGCCUUGCUGGUCAGGAAAGGCUAACAGCCCCCACUCCACAAAACCCAGCUUGUUCUGGCUCAUGAACCCAAAGGACCAAAGGAAGGUGCAGGCGAGCACAGCAUGGAGACACACGGAGGUGGACGUGCAGCCCUCACACUGGUGCCCAACACCUGCCAGACGGUUACUACAGUGAGAAGGAAGCCUGAGACUUGGCUGCAGCCACCCACCAGACCUCCCCAGGUCAAGCACGUACCCCCCAGGGGUGGAAGGUCCAUCUGCGGAAGCUGGAACCCGAGCACAGCCUGCUUCAGCCAGGCCAGGUGCUCUGGGGCAUUCCAGUGCAGGUGAGGAAGCAGCCGGCUGCCCCCUGCCUCAGCAAACUCAGUGACAGGCCAGGACAGGUCACACAGCUGUUCAGAGGACACCACAGAAGCCAGGAACUGCAGCACACUGUUAAACAGCUCAAUGAUGGCGCCAGGCUCCUGAGAAGCAAGACCGCCCAGACGCCUCUCUCUUCUGUCAUGGAAAAAGCGGCCACUAAACUCAUGGCCAAUCCCGUCUUCGACGUACUGAAUGAGAGUCUGGCAGCAGAGGUCAAGGGAAUGGGGGCAGUGGGAAACCAGCCACUGCACUGCUUGCAAAACCUGAGAAGAAAGAAGAGACUUGGUUGAACAAUUCACACUGUUUUUCAAAAACAGCUUUCUGAAAGGGCUUGAUCCCCCAAGGUUGCCCACAGCAGGUAAUACCAGAGUACUGGGCUCUCAACUGUGGUAGGAAGGGGAACAGAAGUGUCCUAUGCAGUUGAGUUUAGCCUUCUAGGGCUCUGGAGACAUGUCCAGUAGGGGCACUAAAGAGAGCCCCCAGAUCCCACCUGGCCUGAGGAGGAGUGUGACCUGCAUGGUUGCCCCAUGGAAAGGCCCAGGCCCUCAGGAAACCAGCCCUGAACAUCCCCUUCACCAUGCACAGAAAUGGAGUCUUCUCCUUUUUGGAAGGACUAACAGCUUCACUAUGUGCCAAGGUGCCUUCACACCCUAUGGUUAUCUUACUUCCUAUAGUUAUUUUAAUUCCUGGCACCUCUUUCUCUAAAUUGUUAGCAAAGACUCCCCCUGCCCUAUUUUUUUUGUUUUUGAGAAGGGGGUCUUGCUAUGUUGGCCAGGCUGGUCUCAAACUCCUGAGCUCAAGCAGUCCUCCUGCUUCAGCCUCCGAGUAGCAGAGACUACAGGUGCGAGGAGCCACCACGCCCAGCUUCAGACUUCCUUUUUAAAGGAAACAUCAAAUAACAUUAUUUCUUCAUAUAUUCAGAGGACAAUUACCCUAGAAAAAUAACUUCUGUAUCUGACCUUCAGAUAUAAGACAUGUUCAUAUUUUAAAUUCAUAGAAACAAAAACACUAAAAAAUUUUACAUGAACAAUUUAAUUUGCAGAUAGCAGGACUGUGGGCAAAUUUUAUCUUUUAUUUUGAUUUCUGCUUAUGUUUUUAGAAAGUUAUCUGUAUAAAACAUACAACUGCUGCCAGGCGCAGUGGCACACCACAGUAGUCCCAUAUACUUGGGAGACUGAAGUGGGAAGAUUGCAUGAGCCCUGUAGUUUGAGGUUGCAGGGAGCUAUCAUCAUGCCACUAUACUGGGUGACAAUAAAACCCUGUCUCUUAAGAAAAAGACAAUGCAAACGCUAAUAUACACUCAAUUCAAGAUACAGCAAAAGGGGAAAAAACAAAAUAUCUUGACAGACCAUUAAAAA
Molecule: long non-coding RNA, 3213 nt
Organism: Homo sapiens (human)
Lineage: Eukaryota; Metazoa; Chordata; Mammalia; Primates; Hominidae
Gene: MCM3AP-AS1
Product: MCM3AP antisense RNA 1
Source: Ensembl